CGGAGUACGNUCGCAAGAUUNAAACUCAACAGGAAUNGACGGGGGCCCGCACAANCGGUGGAGCAUGUGGUUCAAUUCGAAGCAACGCGCAGAACCUUACCAGCCCUUGACAUGUCCCGUAUGAGUACCAGAGAUGGAACUCUUCAGUUCGGCUGGCGGGAACACAGGUGCUGCAUGGCUGUCGUCAGCUCGUGUCGUGAGAUGUUGGGUUAAGUCCCGCAACGAGCGCAACCCUCGCCCUUAGUUGCCAUCAUUCAGUUGGGCACUCUAAGGGGACUGCCGGUGAUAAGCCGCGAGGAAGGUGGGGAUGACGUCAAGUCCUCAUGGCCCUUACGGGCUGGGCUACACACGUGCUACAAUGGCGGUGACAGUGGGACGCAAUGGAGCAAUCCUGCGCAAAUCUCAAAAAACCGUCUCAGUUCGGAUUGUGCUCUGCAACUCGAGCACAUGAAGGUGGAAUCGCUAGUAAUCGCAGAUCAGCACGCUGCGGUGAAUACGUUCCCGGGCCUUGUACACACCGCCCGUCACACCAUGGGAGUUGGUUUUACCUGAAGGCGGUGCGCUAACCCGCAAGGGAUGCAGCCGACCACGGUAGGGUCAGCGACUGGGGUGAAGUCGUAAUAAGGUACC
This 630-nucleotide ribosomal RNA is filed under the name uncultured bacterium. Its description in RNAcentral is "bacterial SSU rRNA". It matches the Rfam family "Bacterial small subunit ribosomal RNA", at positions 876 to 1500 of the family's 1533-position model. The record is from RNAcentral.